This 2386-nucleotide long non-coding RNA is filed under the name Rattus norvegicus (Norway rat). RNAcentral's name for it is "long non-coding RNA NONRATT007350". Lineage: Eukaryota; Metazoa; Chordata; Mammalia; Rodentia; Muridae. The record is from RNAcentral.
UGGACAGCCCUACAGAACCCUAGAAACAUAAGCUAAAGACAAACUUGAAGACUAUUGACGUGGAUGCCCCACAUACGGUUUGAGAUUUCCCCUCAAGAAACAACUAAAAUCAUCUUGACACCAGUUGUUCACUGACCAGCAGCAAAAGUCAGUGAGACACAAUAGCAGCAGGUCUCAUCAGGUUGCCGCCUGUGGCCUCUGCUCCAGGUCAAACUAGAAUCCUACAAGCAAUCACCGGUCCCUGUUUGACUAUUUCUUAGACCAGUCUGAGCUGUUUGCUCAGUGCUGCCUGUGAGUACUCUGUCCACCCAGCUGAAAAUUGGCAGAGCUACUCUGAAGAUUGUGCCCGACUCGCUUUCUGGGGUGAGGUGAAGGCAGAGAGAUGCUUUAAGGUUCUUCUUACAGGACUGAGUCAUGGUAAUGGUGGACUUUUGUGGGAGAGUUCUGGCCUGCUAGAAAAAUAAAAGGUAACUGAAAGAUACAGGACUCCAGGAGCUCAUCCAGACACUGGCUUUGAUCCCAAGAAAGAACUUUGGUCAUUUCCCUCUUGGCUGCUUAUACACAGUUAACUACACGCUGAUCACACUUCAGCCAUUAGUCUUUGCUCUUAAGUGAAAUUAAGACAGACUUGUGCUCCUAACCCUCAUUUGAUUCCCAUUUUUGGGGGACAUCUAUUAGAUAGUCACUGGGAUGGCUUCAGAUCUUUCAGGGACGCAGUCCUGGAGGCAGCCAUCUGAAGAUACAUUUUACUUAGAAAGCAGACUAUAGGUGGUUACCCAAAUUUCUUAGAUUCUCAGCAGUGUCACUGCAUCAUGGUUAGUGUUCAAGCUAGUUAACAGCUAAGUGCUUACUAGUUAACCAUCAACAUGCCAGUUGACAUGAUGGGACUUUUAAGACUUUAAAUGUACUUUAUGACAAAAGUCAGAUUCUUCAAGUUGUGACCUUUCUACUCCAGCCUGGCAGGCAAGGCUAAGCAUAUAUGUGUGAGAUAACUUUAUAUGUAAAGCACUUGAUAUUAAAGGCAUAAACGUGAGAUUGUUAAAUGUGUGUAGAGAGACAUGUUGAAUAUAUGGGACAGUCCAUGCCUUACACCAGAAAGUUUCUGGUCUGAGUGACAUCUGGCAAAGGUUACACUGUAAAUAAACUGUGAGGCCAACUUCAUAGUACUCAUUGCUUUGGACAGGAAGUUCCCUUGGUCUGUCCCAGUCAUGCAGUAAGUUCCAUAAACUGCCAGGAGAGCUCAGUCUUAACUCCAGAGGCUCCACAGGAGAACCCCAGUGUGGGAAUGCUAAAGAAACAGUAAAAACACAACUUUUACAAACUGUAAACAUUGAGUACCUCAAUGUAUUUUGUAAGGCCAUAAUGUCAGUGUGUUUUGGUACUUCACCCCUCCUGUCGUUCUUUCUAUUCCUGUUCAGCCUGUUGAACAGAACCAACCACCAGGGAGCGGGGAGAAAGUGAAGUUUUGGAGUAACUAAGAAGCCGUGGUUAUAAACAUGAUUAGGUCUCAGAACUAGCGGUGGGGAGGAAACUACUUAGGUUGAAUCAAGAAAAGUCUGUGAAAAGAGCUCAGUAGGGCUGGAGAGAUGGCUCAGUAGUUAAGAGCACUGCUCUUCCAGGGGUCCUGAGUUCAAUUCCCAGCACCUAUAUGGUGGUUCACAACCAUCUGUAAUAGGAUCUGAUGCCCUCUUCUGGUGUGUCUGAAGACAGCUACAGUGUACUCAUAUAAAUAUAAAUAUAUCUUCUUUUAAAAAAAAAAAAAAGAGCUCAGUAGAACACUAAAGUGCCCCUUCCAAGCUGCCUGGUCUCUGUCAAUCAAAGGGAAUGGGCGGGCCCUGGCUUGGAGGUGUACUGAGGGUCUUCUCCAUUGUUAGUAUAUUUGGGGGAAAUCUAUAAUCAACAGAGGAUAGGAAGUAUACCAGAAAGGCUUGUCUGCCCAGAUUCUGUGAACCAUGGUACCAUCGUUGUUUUCCCACUCAUAAAUCCUCUAUGCUUAGACAAAUAGGGACUCAGUCCACAGGAAACACAAGGUCUUGCAGAGAAGGGGAGCAAUCUCAGAGUUUGCAAAGCGUUGCAAGAUUUACGUUUGCUCUGUCUUUGCUUUCUCUGCUGCCAGUCUCUGGUCCAUUUAUACUGAAGAGAUAGUGUUUGAAGAUUCAUAGCUGUGAAUGUUUGUUGAUUUAAGAUUUUACUUAGAAUUGCCAACUUUAUUCCCAAUAGGCAUUCCAGUAGGCAAUGCUGAUCUGUUUAUCGAAAGGGAACUUCAUCAGGCUCAUCUUGCCGUCCUCAUGGAAGACUCAUUCCGUCACUGGAGUGACAAUGCUGAGACACUCAAGACAGCAAACUUGCCACAGAGCCCUUUUCUGUGUCCCACUAUGAGCAACCC